This 216-nucleotide unclassified non-coding RNA is filed under the name fungal sp. Its description in RNAcentral is "partial internal transcribed spacer region". The stretch from base 1 to 46 matches the Rfam family "Eukaryotic small subunit ribosomal RNA", at positions 1786 to 1831 of the family's 1831-position model. The record is from RNAcentral. Lineage: Eukaryota; Fungi.
AAGUCGUAACAAGGUUUCCGUAGGUGAACCUGCGGAAGGAUCAUUAACAAAAAGUAAAAAGGGGGUAUGUGUAGUAUAGUAGUAUGUGUGUGGUAAAACACACACACACACACUGCACUAUAUACUCUUUUUGACACAUUGUGCACAUUUAUGACUAUUAUAUAAUUUUUAAUUUUAUAAUUGAAACAACUUUUAACAAUGGAUCUCUUGGCUCUU